UACGUAGGGUGCGAGCGUUGUCCGGAAUUACUGGGCGUAAAGAGCUCGUAGGUGGUUUGUCGCGUUGUUCGUGAAAACUCACAGCUCAACUGUGGGCGUGCGGGCGAUACGGGCAGACUAGAGUGCGGUAGGGGAGACUGGAAUUCCUGGUGUAGCGGUGAAAUGCGCAGAUAUCAGGAGGAACACCGGUGGCGAAGGCGGGUCUCUGGGCCGUAACUGACGCUGAGGAGCGAAAGCAUGGGGAGCGAACAGG
This 253-nucleotide ribosomal RNA is filed under the name uncultured bacterium. RNAcentral describes it as "partial 16S ribosomal RNA". It matches the Rfam family "Bacterial small subunit ribosomal RNA", at positions 524 to 776 of the family's 1533-position model. The record is from RNAcentral.